AUUGAACGCUGGCGGCAGGCCUAACACAUGCAAGUCGAACGGUAACAGGAAACAGCUUGCUGUUUCGCUGACGAGUGGCGGCCGGGUGAGUAAUGUCUGGGAAACUGCCUGAUGGAGGGGGAUAACUACUGGAAACGGUAGCUAAUACCGCAUAACGUCGCAAGACCAAAGAGGGGGACCUUCGUGCCUCUUGCCAUCGGAUGUGCCCAGAUGGGAUUAGCUAGUAGGUGGGGUAACGGCUCACCUAGGCGACGAUCCCUAGCUGGUCUGAGAGGAUGACCAGCCACACUGGAACUGAGACACGGUCCAGACUCCUACGGGAGGCAGCAGUGGGGAAUAUUGCACAAUGGGCGCAAGCAUGAUGCAGCCAUGCCGCGUGUAUGAAGAAGGCCUUCGGGUUGUAAAGUACUUUCAGCGGGGAGGAAGGGAGUAAAGUUAAUACCUUUGCUCAUUGACGUUACCCGCAGAAGAAGCACCGGCUAACUCCGUG
Molecule: ribosomal RNA, 490 nt
Filed under: uncultured bacterium
Lineage: Bacteria
Description: partial 16S ribosomal RNA
Rfam family: Bacterial small subunit ribosomal RNA
Source: RNAcentral